UCCCUCAAAAUUCUUAAUUUCAGCUUCUCUCUCUUGAAAUUUCUCCUCUUUCACCAUUGGGCGGUUCAUCAGAUCUUCAACUGUGGUUUAGGGUAUUUUUUUUCCUUCUUCAAUGUUUUGAUUCUUUUCUUCUCUUUUGGCCUAUGAUUUAGAACAUUUGUCCGUACCAUCUGAGAAGUAUUUCGAUGGAGUAUACAAUCAAAUUCUACAUUCUGAGGCCUUCGAUAUGUUCUUUUCCCAAAUGCGUUUUAGAUUUGUUUUUGGUUUGACUUUCUUCUAUUGGAAGGCAAUAAAUUAGAGUCUCUGAUGCGCUUCUAAUAUUUCGUAGCGUUUUCAGCGCUGUACGUUGCCGACAAUGAUCUUUGGGAGAUGAGAUUCUGGCAUUUGCUUCCUUUAUGAUGCUUAUGCAUUCAGAUUUUCCCACAUUCUAUAUUCUCUUGUAUUGUUUUUUUUAUUUGAUUGUUGUUGUUGAUUUGCAUGAUGAUUUGGUAAUGAGUCUGUGAUGAUACAUUUAAGGCUUGUUUCUCAAAACAUUCGCAGUGGCCGCCUGAGAGCUUUCGCCUUCGCCAGGCUUGAGAGCUUCUGCUGUUCUUAUCCUUCCUUGGAUGUCUGAGGCUCUAUUUAAGAGUUCUACUUCUAGUUUCUCGACGAUUUAAGUUUUUGUUUUAUAAUGCCUGUUCGCCCUUCAAAACCCCCUAGCGACUAUUUUUGGGCUUUAGACGAGUUUAUGUAUUACUGAUCAUUGCUGCUUGGAAAAUCUUAUAUACAAGUACUAUUGCUUUUAUUUGAAUUCUUGGUUUCAUUUGCUUUUCACCUAUCAUUGGAGAAUCAUUGAACUGUUGGUUCUGCUAUUAACUUAUAUUUUAACCUCAUUUAGACUUGUUAUAUGAGAAUCCUUGAAUUGCAUUGUCUGUUUUGAACUUCUGUUGUAUUUUCAUUUCCUGUUGUCGGUGGAGUACUUUUGAACUGUUGGGUCUGUUCUGGACUUGUUUGUAACUUCAUUUCCGUUUUCCAUUGGAAAUCAUUAAAUAUUUUCCAUCUGUUCUUAACUUAUCUUGAUACCCCAUUUCCCCGGUUUUGUUUCCCUUUUUCAAGGGCCUUCUGGUGGUAUCUAAGAUUCUCCAUGCUCUAUGUUCAGUUUGAUAUUUUGAUAACAAUGAUGAUAUCUUGAAGGCUUGUUUCUCAAAACAUUCGCAGUGGCCGCCUAAGAGCUUUCGCCUUCGCCAGGCUUGAGAGCUAGUGCUGCUUUAUCCUUCCUUGGAUGUCUGAGUCUCUUUUAACUCCUUUGGAAUUACUUUUUAAUUUUGUAUCUUUGUGUUGACAUUUUUCGAAGCGUUGCUUCUCCCAAUAUAUGCUGCUGCCUUGUCAUAAAGCUCUUGCCUUUUUUAUGCUCGAGCGCUUAAUGCUGCCAGCUUGGAAUGUCUGAAACAGAUCUGUAUAUUCUUGCUUUUUUAUUAUUCAAUCUUCAUCCUUCUAUGAAUUUUUAUGAAGCUUGUGGAAAACUUUUGAAGUAAAUGAUCCGAAAUAUCGCUUUUUUGAUGUAAUGUUUUGUUGUUGAUGGAUGAAACAUCGUGAUGGGGGUGCUUCCCAGGUUAUAAGCGGCAGGAACAUCCCAAAGGUUGUAUUCUUCAUCAAGGCCAAGGAGGACUUGUUAGAUUAGAGCUCUUGUCAACAUAGGGUUGCUUGCUUGUGCAAGGUUGUUAGAGUGCAUCUUCAUCAAUUUGACGUACUCGUUCAUCUUCUGGCUACCUUUUCUUGUCGAUUGAAACGUUGCUUCAGAGGUCGUCUAGAUGAACAUUGGUGGGCAGAGUAUCUGACCUGAAAGGUGUCCUUCGAGCUUGUAGCUUCGGAGGAUUGGCAGUGCAAGUGUCUUCCACAGCAUAAAAUUCCCGUGUCCGAGUUUCAUGGUGGUGAGUUGAUUCAAGAGCUGGUUGAGAGGUGGCGUGGUGAAUUUUAUCGGUUUGGAGGAGGAGCAAUUUCCAGUGAGUGUGGUGUCGGCCAUGAAGCUCUGAUUCCAAUUUUACCGAUUUGGGAAUUUUCUCAGUCCUUUGGACUUCUACCUUUUGUUUCUUUUUGUAUUGAAUGAAUAAUGAAUACCUACAGCCCUAUUUCCUUUAUACACAUCUUGCCCUAAUAUGGUUACAAAAUAAUAAUAAUACAAGGAAUAAGAAUAACUAUUUUCAACUAAA
Molecule: long non-coding RNA, 2189 nt
Organism: Benincasa hispida (wax gourd)
Lineage: Eukaryota; Viridiplantae; Streptophyta; Magnoliopsida; Cucurbitales; Cucurbitaceae
Source: RefSeq, a predicted model, not a curated record